UACGUAGGGUGCAAGCGUUGUCCGGAAUUAUUGGGCGUAAAGAGCUCGUAGGCGGUCUGUCGCGUCUGCUGUGAAAACUCAGGGCUUAACCCUGAGCUUGCAGUGGGUACGGGCAGACUAGAGUGCGGUAGGGGAGACCGGAAUUCCUGGUGUAGCGGUGAAAUGCGCAGAUAUCAGGAGGAACACCGGUGGCGAAGGCGGGUCUCUGGGCCGUAACUGACGCUGAGGAGCGAAAGCAUGGGGAGCGAACAGG
RNAcentral lists this ribosomal RNA (253 nucleotides) under uncultured bacterium. RNAcentral's name for it is "partial 16S ribosomal RNA". It matches the Rfam family "Bacterial small subunit ribosomal RNA", at positions 524 to 776 of the family's 1533-position model. The record is from RNAcentral.